UUUUGUUCAUUCCAGCAACAUGUACACUAUGGUCUACACCGACAUUUUCUUUCUUUUUCAAGAAUGGAAAGCAUUGGAAAAUAAGAAUGCGGUACAUGUUGCAUCAUUAAUUAUACUGUCACAUUCAUUACCGGGUGUAUCAGUAGCAUGCCAUGACAAUGCUUUGUUGCCGUGGAAGGAAAAGAAGAUCAUCUAGCUAGGUACCUAGCUACGAGACAACUGUAUGUGUUGU
Molecule: long non-coding RNA, 232 nt
Filed under: Oryza brachyantha (malo sina)
Lineage: Eukaryota; Viridiplantae; Streptophyta; Magnoliopsida; Poales; Poaceae
Description: long non-coding RNA (OBRA_LNC002287)
Source: RNAcentral